Mustela lutreola (European mink) is the source of this 6624-nucleotide long non-coding RNA. RefSeq lists it as uncharacterized. Lineage: Eukaryota; Metazoa; Chordata; Mammalia; Carnivora; Mustelidae. The transcript is spliced from 3 exons. The record is from RefSeq and is a predicted model, not a curated record.
GGAGCGAGAGGCACUUCAGAGCCUGGAGGGACGGACCUGCAGGAGCCAGGGUUGCCCGCCGAGCUGCAGUUGUCGCUGCUGCCGCUGUCGCCGUCGCGCUGCCACCACCGCCGCCGCUGUCAGCGCCCCUCUGAAGAGUGACAGCUCCGCAAAAGCGGGAGGGAGCACCGAGCCCCGCGCCUCUACGAAACAGGUGCAUGCGCCGAUCUCCCGGUCAGUGGACCCAGCUCGCAAGCUUAUCCAACAAAAGUAUUAACAUAUACAUUAACAACGUCGAAAGUAGCCUACUUUAAGAGAAAAUAUGCAGAAGAAGAAGAUUUACAUCAAGAUUACCAUGGGUAUUUUCCAAAACACCUGAUAUUGCCUGAGGACAGGACUUGCAUUCUCAAACUUUCUCUGGAGAAGCUCAGGUUUCUUGAAGACCCAGAAACCUACUUAAGAAGGUCUGUGUUAAUUAACAAUUUGCUGAGGAAGAUACAUCUAGAGACGGAGAAAGAGAGCUAUGAAUACUUUAAAGAAGCUCCCUGUUAUAAGACUGCUUAUUCUGAUACAAGAAAACGGCUGAAGUUCAUGGUACAGGAAUGCUGUUCUCAGUCUCUUUAUUAUGAAGAGCUGCAUUCAUAUCAUAUUGUGCCUUAUGCUUCGGAGAAUGCCAUUUAUGGAAUGGGCUACACUAGCAGCCAUUUGGAGCAGAAUUCUCAGUUGCUUAUUUAUAAAAUGAAUUAAAGUAACCGUUAAGUUCAUCAAUACUUUGUUUCUAAAUGCCUGAACUGUUUAUAGUGAAGAUGUUAAAAUAAGGCACUAAUUACCAGUGCACUUGAGAUCAAAGUUGACAUGCAUGCUGAACUGAGUGGAGAGAACCCUGGUUAUUACUCAGCGGUCCUUAGUAUCAUCCACAUUGAAAAUAUGUCCACAUACUAUAAAGCAGCAAAUAAGUGCUUUACAGGCAAAGGUUUUUAUGCUCUUUUUAAGAUAAGAUGAUGUGUACAAGGAGACCUAGGUUAAGUUCUUCUACGGAUUUAAACUUUUAAGCCCCCUGUUUCCAAAUUCUGCCACUCUUAGUGGCAAAUAACAAAAAGCGACAUUGAACUGAUAAUGUGGUGUCCUUAAAUAUUAAGUAAGGAACAGAUUUUGUUUUCUGUAAACAAUGAGGGGAAGAUAGGUUCUUUCUGAAAAAGCGUUGGCUUGUCAAACAUUGCGCCAAAUAAUUGUUUGACACCAUUUUCGUCUUACCGUUAGUGGCAAUUCAAGAUGGGGCAAACCUAUUGCAACUUAACUGCUGAAUGUAACAACCAGAUUACUCCGAACUGAUCCAUUUUAUUUUAUUUUAUUUUUGGCUUGAUAGACAUUUCUCUUAAAAGUAAAAUUUAAUAGAAUGAGCCUUGCAGAUAAGCCUUAUCUGUAAGCUCUAGAGGUCAGUUAAAGUUUGUGGUGGGCCUUCAGUUAAGAGUUUAUUUAUAAUGUCAUUUUAUUAUAAUGUCAUUUUUACAGGCUGUGAAGCUCAGGAAAAGGGUAGGCAGGUCAAAUUUGUUUUUAAUAGCUUGAUAAUUUUAAAAAGUCUUAUCUGCAAAAAUUGGUGAAAACAACAGAAGUUCUACAUGAUGUUAUUUCUUCAUCAAAGAGUACAUUUAGGGUUGCCUAAAUGAAACUUUGCACUGAUUUUUGUACAGUAGUUGACCAUUCACUAUUUGACAACAUGUUUCAGAAUGCUUUUGAUGGUGAAGUUUAGAUAAGUCCCUAUAUUUUGCAAUUUGAAAGAUAAUUAUUUAACAAGUUGGAUUGAUUCCUGAAAUUAUUUGAAGUGGUUCCUAAUGUUCUUUGAGGUUUGAGUGAGAUGUCUGAUUUCAGUGUCUGAAGUUAUGUUCUAUGGAGCAUAUCAUUUAAAGAAUUGUCAUUAACCGAUAAAACAGAUUGGGAAAACUAGGUGCCAAAGGUAUAUUCAAGAAAUACCAAAGACCCAAGAUGAGUGUUAGAGAGACUAUGAUAAUGAAGAUAAGAAUCUAAAACAAGGAUUGCACAGGACAUAGAAGAACAUUGUUAAAGGGUUUUGGAAACAAUUUGCUUACUAAUGUGCUUUCAGAAAAAUCAAGGACACUGCUUUACGUGAAGGUAUUACAGGACUUCGGCGAUCAUAUGCUUUCACAAAUCUAAAUAUGGUGAUUGUCAACAUUGUACCUUCCCUAGUUGAAUGCCAUCUUGUGACCAAGAAGUCUUUUUUUUUAAUUCAAGAGAAUAUUUUUUUUAGUUCCAAUUCGCUAUUUGUUCCCUUUACUGAAUCAUCAGGUGAGUCAUGUGGAUGUUUUUGGUAUAAAUAUUGGUGCCCUAAUUAGCAUGUGUUGUUGUUGAAGAUUAUAUAGAUCUAUAAUUGAUAAAAGUACCAGGUUUGUGCUUAGUUGCUCAAUCAGAAUUAUUAAAAAAUACUUUAGAACAAAUGGAAAACUUAUAACUGGGGCUAAUUUUUAAAGGCAAUUUUGUUUGAAUGGUGAGAUAGCUUUGAAAUAAAUAUAAAUAUUUAAAAAUUAAUUUAAGGGCAAAAUUUGGCACCAAAGUUCAAAAACUUUGUUUCACUGCUAUAAAAUAUCUUAUUUUAAGAAUACUUCUUUUAAAAAGUAGAUUUCUUAAACAAUGAGGGUAUUAAUUGAAUAGAUUCCAAAUUAGAUAGGAUAAUUAUACUACAUCUAAUUUAAAAAUAGAAUUAGUUCUCUAAUAGUUUUAACUUACUUUUUUUUAACCUGAGAGAAACACCUGGUUUGGUUUAAGACAAUAUCUGUAAGAAAAACACACCAGUGCAAACUGAUACAACUGACAAAACUGCCAUACAUCGAAAUUGUUGGAGGAUAGAAAUGUAAUUUUGGAAUAGAAUAGAGAGGGAGAGAAAAAUUACCAAGAAAGUAUGAAAUUUUAAUAGUUAGGGUAUGUCAGAAAUCUUAGAGUAACAACUUUUGGGCAGUGAACCAGCAACAGAGGUAAAGUCUGUUUUAUUUGAUGAUGUCAUUAACUGAGCUCUCUGAGCUAUAUAUACAUAUGUAGAGAAGGAAUUGUCUUAGAAACCAGUGGUAUUUGUGAAUAUGCUUUUCUUUUAAAAAAAUGAUUUCAAACCAAAUUAUUUAAAAAUAUCUUUUAAAGCAUUUAAUUUCUUUUCCAAUAAGCAAUUCAUAGGUAAGGAGUGGACUAAUGUUAUCUUGACUUUUUAAAAAACAGUAAUUUGUAUUUAAAUGAUGUAAACUUCUCUGAAUCAAUAAGAUUGCUGUCAUUCUACCGUGGCAAACUGAUACACAGAAGGACUCCAUAGAGACCUGCUUUGCUGACCCCAUCCCACAUGCUCUAUUAGGGGAGAAGUGAAAGGUAGGAGACCAGUUACAACUUUGUUGAAUGUGGACGUCCUUUCUUUGGUAACAAAAGCCAUCAGAGUAAGAAAGACAGGAUGGGAAAUCUGAAUGCCUUUGGUAAUCUUGAUCACUCUUACAUAAGGGUCCUCAGCCUGAAGGCCUAGUAAAGAAGAAAUUUAAAAAAAAGAGAUAAGAGGAAAAUGAAGCGAUGAGGAAGGAUAAAAGUGUGUUGGAGGGGUGCAGACGAAUUAAAAACAGUAUUAGGAAGUGAAAGAGAAAGCUUUUUCAUUGCUUACUUGCUACACUUUUUGACCUUUCGUGUCUGCUGUUCACUCCCAAAACCUGAUUGAUAUCCAUAACCUACUGAUACUUUCUUUCAUUCAUCAGUGAUGCAUAAGACCAGAUUUUAUUCAACAUAUGUAUUAUUUGAAAUGUGAUGUUACUGUGACAUAUCCCCAAAAGUGAACUCCCUGGCUAGAUGAAUAAAGGAAAAAAAUAGAAAUUAAUUAAGUUAGGAGAAAGACUUAAUGGUCUAAUAUAAAUGGAUCAGCUCCAACAUAUGAUCAGAUUUCAAUGUACAAUCCAAGAUUUAAUAAUUCAGUGCUAGAGGAGUUGGAAAUAAGUCUAAUUUGCCAUCAUCUAUGAAGCAACCACUAUGAGUCAGACACUGUGCCAGGGUUGGGGAUACAGAGGUGAAUGAUACACAGUCCCUUUGCUCAAGCAGUUCACUGAUGAGAGAGGAACUCAAAGAUGUUUGGUUUUGUUUUUAAAGUAUUGGGAGUAGUACUUGCAUUUUUCUUUUCUAAACUAUGGGAUGGUUAUCAAACAUGUGUCUCCAAAAGUGUUUAUAGCUAAGAAGAUCCACAAGAAGGGAAGGUCUACCAGCCUUGAUCUUAGAAGGAAAGCAAUGUACCUUCUGCUUGGCAACAUAUUUUCUACUUGGAAGCAUAAUAGAAAGCCACUAUUGUAGACAGCAAGUGUGGCUGGCUUUAGCUCAUUCCUGGGGCACAGAGAUUGUAGGGGAGAUAGGUGACAAGUGCAAGUACAGAAGAAUUCCUUCUUUCCCAAUUCUCCAGCUUUCAUGUUCAUUUGUAGGGGAAAUCAGGCUAAUACUACUCAUGUGAAGGAAAGCCUUGAAGGAGACCCAAAAUCAGGAAAUCACGGCGUUUGAGCUGUAUAUAGUGUGGUCAAGGUUAGAAGGACAACUUUCUUUAAUUUGCCUUGUGUAGUGAGCUGCUUGAAUGAACCUAGGGAUUUCUUUACAUCAGCUCUGGAACCAGCUCUUCCUUCCCUCCACUCUGAAUCACAAUCCAACCCCAGACCUUGCAGUCUGCUGGAAAGGGGAGGUUUGGGUUCUAAUUCUUCACCUUCCUACUUCCCCCAGCAUUGAUAUUGAAUUGCUCAAAGAUACUUGGAAGAAGAAAGCAACAAUUUGCAGUACUGGUUGAAUUCCCCUUUGACAAAAGGUUUCCAAAGUGUGUCAAAGUAGAAUUCAUUAGUUUUUGAUAUAAUUCUUUAAAAAACUAUUGUAAUAGUCAUUAAAUAAUUGACUACUAAGGUAGUCUUCACAUUUCUAGGGUUCAGUGUAAUAGUUAUCACUUGUGUAUGUUUUGCUGAAGAAAAUACCUUAGUUUUGCUGAAGAAAAUACCUUAGAUUGGAAAAAGUGAAAGACUAUGUACAAUUAAUACAAGCAGUUCAUGAUUAUUAUCUAAUAUAGAAUUUUAAUUUACAUUUUCCCAUUCUCAAAUUUCAUUUUAUACAUCAGCAAUGUGACAUGUUCCAGGUGUUUUGUUUUUUGUUAUUAAGUGGAUCAUGUCUAAAAGUUGUUACAUUCAUGGUUGAACAAUUUGAACAAAAUUUUCCUAUUAGCAUAGUUCUAUCUUUCCCCAAGAAUUAUUCUAUAGUUGGGUAAAGAACAUUCCUCUACAUUAACACUUCUCAAAGCUUCUUGUGCGUAUGAGUCACUGGAGAUCUUGUCAAAACACAAAUUCCUUUUGGUAGGUCUGGGAUGGGGCCUGGGAAUAUGCAUUUCUUACAUCUCUUAGGUGACGUGGGUGCUGCAGUCUACCAACCACACUUUGGGUAAUAAAGCUCUCAAUCAUUUUGAAAAUCUGAAUAUACAUACCAACCUAUAUUCUGAUUCCUUUCAAAGAAUAUGAGUUUGUGUCUGUUUUCUAUAGAAUUUUUUAAUCUAAAGAAAUGAAAGAUAAAGUUUCCAAAUUGGCCACAAAUAUUAUAAUAUUUUAUAUACCAAAAUACACACAAAAUGAUUUCUCAUACAAAUUUUAUCUACAUCAAGUGCAAAAAAGGAACAUAGAUGUAGUCAUGUACCGUUCUUAUCAGUCAGGAAAUGACACAUGAUAAAAUUUUCUUCUAGGUUGCUUUCUCUUGAUUAUACCCAGAUAAGUGAGCUCUAUUUGUUAACCCUACAGCAAAGGUGAAAUUUUGUUCAUAGUUAAGAAGAAUUUGGCAUGUUCUUGCUUGGCCAAACCUGAGAAGACCUUCUAAAAACUUUCGAUAUUAAAUUCAGACUUGUCAGUGAAUACAUGGGCUGAACAAUUGGGUAAACAUAAACUGAAAAAACAGCACCUGGAUCUUCAACUUGUUGUUUUGAACUCUUUCUUGAGCUUUAGUCCAUGAGAAACCCUCCCCUUGCUAUGGACUCAUUGUUUCUCUAUAGUAGUCAGUGUCUAAAUGAGGGAUGGAUGAUUGGUGUGAAUGAGGGAGUUGCACAAAUUGUCUAAUUUGAGCAUGCCAAGUGAUUUUUGUCAAGCUCUCCUUUGGUCAUAAAUUGUUGAUAUAGCUAUUGUGAAUAUAGUGUCAAAAAUUUGUCAUAAGCCAUUAAUGAAGGGGAAAAAAAGCAGAAAUUUAGUUCUGUGGGAAUGCACCCAAAUAUCAAGCAGAUGGUGUUCUACAACAUUUAUUUGGGAAACUGUGUAUCUGUUACAUAAUCUAAAAUAUGUCAUUUUCACAUUUAAAAAUAUUUGGGUCAUGAUUUAGAGUUUUUAUUGGAUUGUUUUUUAAACUGAGAGGAAGAAGAAAGGUAACUGUAUUUUAAAACAUAUUUGACAUGUUACUAAUAAAAUUUUAUUUCUGGUGAAGUAAAGGUGCCUUUAUUAAGCAGGGGAGGAGGGUCAUGAAUAUUUGGCAGUUGCUUUAUGUCCCUUGAUUCCAGAAGUCUCAUUUAAAAAGCAUAUAGUUAUAUCCUUUCAACAGUUAACUUUCUUUUUUUGUUGUUGUUGGUUUAAGAUUUUAUUUUUUUAUUUGAGAGAGAGAGAGAGAAAAAGAGAGCAG